CCUACGGGGGGCAGCAGUGGGGAAUAUUGGACAAUGGGGGCAACCCUGAUCCAGCCAUGCCGCGUGUGUGAAGAAGGCCCUCGGGUUGUAAAGCACUUUCAGUGAGGAAGAACGCCUGGUGGUGAAUACCCAUCAGGAAAGACAUCACUCACAGAAGAAGCACCGGCUAACUCCGUGCCAGCAGCCGCGGUAAUACGGAGGGUGCGAGCGUUAAUCGGAAUUACUGGGCGUAAAGCGCGCGUAGGUGGCUUGAUAAGCCGGUUGUGAAAGCCCCGGGCUCAACCUGGGAACGGCAUCCGGAACUGUCAAGCUAGAGUGCAGGGGAGGAAGGUAGAAUUCCCGGUGUAGCGGUGAAAGGCGUAGAGAUCGGGAGGAAUACCAGUGGCGAAGGCGGCCUUCUGGACUGACACUGACACUGAGGUGCGAAAGCGUGGGUAGCAAACAGGAUUAGAUACCCCGGUAGUC
This 465-nucleotide ribosomal RNA is filed under the name Vreelandella stevensii. RNAcentral describes it as "partial 16S ribosomal RNA". It matches the Rfam family "Bacterial small subunit ribosomal RNA", at positions 338 to 795 of the family's 1533-position model. Lineage: Bacteria; Pseudomonadati; Pseudomonadota; Gammaproteobacteria; Oceanospirillales; Halomonadaceae. The record is from RNAcentral.